CCUACGGGUGGCAGCAGUGAGGAAUAUUGGUCAAUGGACGAGAGUCUGAACCAGCCAAGUAGCGUGAAGGAUGACUGCCCUAUGGGUUGUAAACUUCUUUUAUAAAGGAAUAAAACGAGGCACGUGUGCCUUUUUGCAUGUACUUUAUGAAUAAGGAUCGGCUAACUCCGUGCCAGCAGCCGCGGUAAUACGGAGGAUCCGAGUGUUAUCCGGAUUUAUUGGGUUUAAAGGGAGCGUAGAUGGGUUGUUAAGUCAGUUGUGAAAGUUUGCGGCUCAACCGUAAAAUUGCAAUUGAUACUGGCAGUCGUGAGUACAGUUGAGGUAGGCGGAAUUCGUGGUGUAGCGGUGAAAUGCUUAGAUAUCACGAAGAACCCCGAUUGCGAAGGCAGCUUACUAAACUGUGACUGACAUUGAUGCUCGAAAGUGUGGGUAUCAAACAGGAUUAGAUACCCCUGUAGUC
This 460-nucleotide ribosomal RNA is filed under the name uncultured bacterium. Its description in RNAcentral is "partial 16S ribosomal RNA". It matches the Rfam family "Bacterial small subunit ribosomal RNA", at positions 338 to 795 of the family's 1533-position model. The record is from RNAcentral.